AUUUAAAAAUUCAUCUGUUUCUACUGUUAAAAAACUGGCGUGACUGAUAGAAUAACCAAACAGUUACAUGUGGCGUGCCACAUGUACCUCAUUCUGACGUACAAGGACCAGUUUUUAAUAGUAGAAAUAGAUGGAAUAUGUAAAA
Molecule: non-coding RNA, 145 nt
Organism: Gossypium raimondii (Peruvian cotton)
Lineage: Eukaryota; Viridiplantae; Streptophyta; Magnoliopsida; Malvales; Malvaceae
Source: Rfam